This 439-nucleotide ribosomal RNA is filed under the name uncultured bacterium. RNAcentral's name for it is "partial 16S ribosomal RNA". It matches the Rfam family "Bacterial small subunit ribosomal RNA", at positions 339 to 795 of the family's 1533-position model. The record is from RNAcentral.
CUACGGGUCGCACCAGUGAAGAAUAUUGCACAAUGGGGGGAACCCUGAUGCAGCAACGCCGCGUGGAGGAUGACGCAUUUCGGUGUGUAAACUCCUUUUAUAUGUCAAGAAAAUGACGGUAGCAUAUGAAUAAGCACCGGCUAACUCCGUGCCAGCAGCCGCGGUAAUACGGAGGGUGCAAGCGUUACUCGGAAUCACCGGGCGUAAAGGACGCGUAGGCGGGUUGGAAAGUCAGGUGUGAAAUCCUACAGCUUAACUGUAGAACUGCACUUGAAACUUCUAAUCUAGAGUAUGGGAGGGGGAGAUGGAAUUAGUGGUGUAGGGGUAAAAUCCGUAGAUAUCACUAGGAAUACCUAAAGCGAAGGCGAUCUCCUGGAACAUUACUGACGCUAAGGCGUGAAAGCGUGGGGAGCAAACAGGAUUAGAUACCCUUGUAGUC